Molecule: long non-coding RNA, 830 nt
Organism: Scylla paramamosain (green mud crab)
Lineage: Eukaryota; Metazoa; Arthropoda; Malacostraca; Decapoda; Portunidae
Exons: 2
Source: RefSeq, a predicted model, not a curated record
UGCAACCCUUAUUCCCUAAAUAUUCCCUAAAAAAAAAAAAGGAAAUAAAAGAUAAAACGACAAGCAGUCAAUACACGGCUAGUCAGUGGAGAAUAACAUGUAUAUUCCAUUUCCAUAACAAAGAGAGAACACUGUCCAAUUUGAAGAGCAUAUAACAAAAUCUGGCUCGGGAUCCCACAUCGCCGCCUACGUGUGGGUGACCUCAUGCCUCUCCCGCCCCGCCGCCACCACAGUGAUACUACAACAGGACAAUGCACGGACACAACAAUCAACAGACGGCAGCAGGAAGGAGGCCAACACAGCGGACACACACGGAACGAGGGACAUGACAGAUAAACUGACAGACGCACGGAGCCACCACGUUUACAUAAGCCCACGUCCCUUAUCGUUUCAAAGUUUCUCCCGUCAUCACCACCGUAUCCUGGAAGGCUCUGACGCGAAGAGAAAUGUCAGGGGAUGAAAUUAACGUGGAACCAGAGGCGGCCAAGGGUUAAGGCAUAUGUAGCGGGGUAAUGGGUAGUUGGGGAAGGACGGGAAGAAAUGGAAGGGGAAAUGGUCGGGAAGGGAGUAUUUGCCACCGGUGUUGCAUUCCCGUGUCCUGCAUCUCAGGCGUGACAUGUGGCUUGUGUAACGAAGGGCUUGCCAUGAAGGGCUUGCCAUGGUGCGGGAACGUAGGUUUGUACUACAAAAGGAAGGAUUGUUGGUGUUACUCGUAAUUUCAUCUCGGUCUUCUGAAGACAUUGCUUUCUCAUCAGGACUAUUUUCAAACGUCACAGAAGUUAUUGGUCAGCUUGUCAUGGAUCCUUUUCAUAUUCCUUGUUAAACUUUUA